AGAGUUUGAUCCAGGCUCAGGACGAACGCUGGCGGCGUGCCUAAUACAUGCAAGUCGAGCGAGCUUGCCUAGAUGAUUUUGGUGCUUGCACUAAAUGAAACUAGAUACAAGCGAGCGGCGGACGGGUGAGUAACACGUGGGUAACCUGCCCAAGAGACUGGGAUAACACCUGGAAACAGAUGCUAAUACCGGAUAACAACACUAGACGCAUGUCUAGAGUUUGAAAGAUGGUUCUGCUAUCACUCUUGGAUGGACCUGCGGUGCAUUAGCUAGUUGGUAAGGUAACGGCUUACCAAGGCAAUGAUGCAUAGCCGAGUUGAGAGACUGAUCGGCCACAUUGGGACUGAGACACGGCCCAAACUCCUACGGGAGGCAGCAGUAGGGAAUCUUCCACAAUGGACGAAAGUCUGAUGGAGCAACGCCGCGUGAGUGAAGAAGGGUUUCGGCUCGUAAAGCUCUGUUGGUAGUGAAGAAAGAUAGAGGUAGUAACUGGCCUUUAUUUGACGGUAAUUACUUAGAAAGUCACGGCUAACUACGUGCCAGCAGCCGCGGUAAUACGUAGGUGGCAAGCGUUGUCCGGAUUUAUUGGGCGUAAAGCGAGUGCAGGCGGUUCAAUAAGUCUGAUGUGAAAGCCUUCGGCUCAACCGGAGAAUUGCAUCAGAAACUGUUGAACUUGAGUGCAGAAGAGGAGAGUGGAACUCCAUGUGUAGCGGUGGAAUGCGUAGAUAUAUGGAAGAACACCAGUGGCGAAGGCGGCUCUCUGGUCUGCAACUGACGCUGAGGCUCGAAAGCAUGGGUAGCGAACAGGAUUAGAUACCCUGGUAGUCCAUGCCGUAAACGAUGAGUGCUAAGUGUUGGGAGGUUUCCGCCUCUCAGUGCUGCAGCU
Molecule: ribosomal RNA, 886 nt
Filed under: uncultured bacterium
Lineage: Bacteria
Description: bacterial SSU rRNA
Rfam family: Bacterial small subunit ribosomal RNA
Source: RNAcentral